Long non-coding RNA from Cyprinus carpio carpio, 3990 nucleotides. The record is from Ensembl. NCBI's taxonomy places the organism in Eukaryota, Metazoa, Chordata, Actinopteri, Cypriniformes, Cyprinidae.
AGGAAACAAACCAGCAUGUUUCAAAAACUGUAGACUGACCUGUUACAACCUUUACAAUUCUUUGCUUUCUCGCUCUCUAUGCAGCAAGAAAGUUGCAAAGUGUUUGUUUCACAAGUCUUAUUGGAUAUUAUUCUUCCUUUUUCUUGUAACUUAACAUUAAACACUCCCGUUACGCACACAAACCAUUUUCUUUUCAAAUUGCCACCAUACCAUUUUUCAAAGAAAACAAUAGCUAGUGCUGAUUCAUUCACAGAACUAAUGCAAAGCUUGUGUCGCAGCGCGUACAUUAGCCCACACAAGAGACCAACCCUCAGAUGGGAGCAUAAAAGCUUCCUUUGCUCUGGCGAUCAUGCCUCAGAGGGCCAGAUCCUCAUCAACACCAUGAGGUCCAGCUAUCACGAUACAACCAGCCGUUUACCAACCGCUUGAUGCAGAAUCAUCCAGACCAAGACAUAAGAAGUGAACCACAGCACAUGGCAGUUUGCCUGAGCCUCUUGGUGAUAAGAGGUUCAUUCCAAAAUGCUGAAAUAUUUAAAAAAGAGAAGCACAUAUCAAAAGUACUAAAAAUUAGAUUAGCUAAUUAAUUUGCAUUAGCAUCCACAAAACAUACUUUAAAAUAAAAUAAAAUAUAUAUAUAUAUAAGUUUUGUGGACCAGAAGGACACUACUGUAGAAGAAUGUUGAAUCAGCAGUAAGUUCCUGUUAUUCCAAUUGAAUUUCCUGUGUGCUGUGGCCAUUUUAAUUCAAAUUUACACUUGUGAAAUGAAAAGGGAACCAGUUAUUAAAUUAAAUUGUGCCCAACCUUGCCUCAUGAAUAUCUCAUUUAGAUGCUACAAAGUCUCAGCAUGUCUCGAACAGAACUUACAUGUUUUUCGAAGACCCAGCCUUGCAAACUUUGUCAAAUGCAGUAACUGGUUCUUCUCAGAAAUGCUCAGAAUGUGUAAACGUACCUAACAUUGCGUAAAGCCGGUAAAUCAGGUUUCAGCGUGGCGCUUUGAGGAGCCUCUUGCCGUUUCUGUGUGCAGUAUUCAUCAGACGACCCAAGACAGCUUACCUGAGACUGAACUUCCACAUCAGAUACUGAUCUGUCGACACUGAGAAAGCCUCUUAAAGCUGUUUAUCUUGGUUAAAACUGCUACUUCAACUGUCUAGUUUACCUGUAAGUGGUCUGAGAUCUGACAGAAUAUCUCUUUCUUUCUUUCCCACACACACAUUUGGCUGGUGUGCUUACGUGAGAAGAAAGAAAUCAAAUGUUUGACCUCAAGCGGUGUUCAUUUACAAACACAUUUCACUUUAUUUCCAUUGAAUAUUCCUCCCUUGUUUUGGACAAAACCCUUCCGGGUCCUGAACCCGAAUGCGAGGGAAAACAUAACAAAUGCUCAAGGACUGUUGAGAUGAAUGCCGUUCCAUCAUUACUGACUUAACCUCAUAUUACGCACCUCAUUCACGCUGAGCGUCUCCUUGGGUUUUCUGAAAUGAAAGUGAUUCCGAAGAGGUGAGAGUGCAGAUCGAGAGUGAGACAGAAGAGAUGAAGUGAACCCAGGUCAGGGAUGUGAUUGGACUGUCAUGAUCCAGAGCCGCUGUGUCAGGAUGUCUGAUGCAAGCUGCCUAAGCUUUUGCACAAGCAAACAGAUGAAAGUCCUGAUCUCACCGCAGUUCUUUUCCACACAUGCGUGUGAUAUUUCUUAAUCUUCUGGGCUACUGUCUCUUUUUCUGCUGGUGGAACUUCUCUUUUUAUUUGAAUAACAGCUUGUUUUUUCACUGCGCUGGUGGGAGUGUAGCAAAAGGACGUCACGGGUCUUUAAUACUUUGCUGGCCUUGGCAUCAGUAAAUCUAUUUAUUUCCCAAAAUACCAAGAAAGCUUUCAUUUUUCUAAAAUUUUCCAUGUCUUUCUCAGAUUUUCUUUGAGCCCAGACUUUCUGUGUCAGUUAGGAUUUAGGAACUAAGAAUGUUGGUUACCAGAGUUGCUGGUCCCCAUUGACUUCCAUAAUAUUUUCUUUCCCCCUGUAGAAUCUGUCAAUGGUUAGCAGCAACUAUUUGGAUGCCAACAUACCUCAAAAUUUCUUCUUUUAUGUUUAACAGAACAAAGAAACUCAUCCAGUUUUGAAAAAAAAAAAAACACAAGAAAUUAUAACAAUUUUCACUUUUGGAUGAACUAUCCCUUUAAGCUUUAAUUUUUUUCAUAUUUUAAAUUAGCUUUUAUCUUUAAUUUUCAGUUUUGAUUUUAAUUUAAGGAAGUUUUAAUAGUUUUGUGAUGCACUUGUGCAUUUUUAUUAUUUCUGGUUAACUGUAGUUUUUUUUAUUAUAUAUAUAUAUAUAUAUAUUAUUUAUAGUGUACAAGAAGCAAAAAAUUAUAGAUUCUUUAUAUAUAAUACUAGAUAAAUACUUGUUUGCUAUAUAAGCAAAACUUUUUUUUUUUUGGUUAUAUUUUUAAAUUUACACUUUUAACAAAAAAAUCAAGAACAUUUAUUUAUAACUAUAUCUGAACAUGACACAACAUCCCAAAAAUAUAGGAGACUUCAGGAAAUCCACUGAAUGAAGGUUAAAAUGGCCACUGGCUUAUAUUUUGGUGGUGCACUUGAAAAUGAAGGUACAGUAUGUGAUUCUGUGUGAUUCAGUAAAACGUAUUGUUGCUAUGAAGGCCUUAUGGGCUUUUACUUCCAAGAGAGGAUUUAAAACGUGAAGUAAGCAAUUCCGCACUUCCCAGUUAAAACCCAAUUAGGUGUAAUUAGAGAGAGCGUUUCCUGACUGUGUUGCGUGUAAAUGGAGUGGCUGGCAUCAUUCGUCAGUGUUUGUAUGUGUCGUCCUCCUCCUUCAGGGAUACUGACACUCUCUCUUUAAAUGGCCGUAUUGAUCGCAUCUCGUCUGUGUCUGUGGCUGCAUCUCCCGAGGAUAACCUCAGUAAAUUUUUAGGACUAGUCUCUCGCUCUUUCGCUCUCUCUGGCUUGGUCCCUCAUAGUAACCCAUGAAAGGAGAUAGAAAUCUGUCCUUUCAGAUGCUUUCUCUCCAGAUUGAUGGGCAGCUCUCCACGUCCACGCCGUCCAAUCCUGACACUUGUGAUGAAUGGAGGGUCCAAUCGGGGGACGUGACCCUUUGCCUCUUUAUCCUCCCUCACGUUUCUCCCACUUGGUUUGCUGGAAUGGAAGAAAGGCUAGGCUAUCUGGCCACAGCGGGUGGUUAUAGCUCUUCUUCUGUAGUUCCUCUGAGCUUUGGGUGAAGCAGAAGCGCAUAACUGGGGUCUUUAUACCUACAUGAAAGGAGGGAGAACAAAGAGAGAGAAUAAAGCUAAAGGAAGAGUAUAUAUCCAAAAAAUAAUACCUGAAAGGAAAAUGUUGGGAGUUGAUGGUGAGAUGAUAAGUGGUUCCCAUUCAGAAAAACACUCAGAGAUAGUGAGGAUGUUACAAGCUCUUUUCCAAGACUGGUAUUCAGCCUUCUAAGUCAGCAUCAUGAUGCAAAUGUAACCUCAAAAGUGUCUGAUUUUAUAUGCUUUACAUAUCAUCAGGCAGCAUCUUAUUCAUUCAUAAGUAGCAUACAGGCACUUGUGGAUUAAAUGCAUAGUCUGUUAUUUAUUUAUUUAUUUGUUUGUUUGUUUGUUUAACCAACUAAAAAUAUGUAUAAAUGACUUUUUAUCUAAUAAUCAAAUAUUAAUAAAUAUAAAUCAUAAAUAUAAUAAAUAUAUUAUUUUAUAUUUAUAUUAAAAAAGUGCGUGUGUUAUAUUAAUAUAAUAUAUAUAUAUAUAUAUAUAUAUUAGUAUUUGAGAUUAAAUAUAUAUUUUCACAUUUAUAAGCAAUUGAAUAUAUUUUAAAAAAUUAACCCGUUGAAUAUGUCUCUGAUUAAUUUUUAAUUGUGUGUGUGUGUGUGUGUGUGUGUGUGUUUGCUUGAUGAUGAGUUUUUGGCUCAAGGUUUACAACAAUUUAAAGUCACACCAGAGGUGUUCAGCUGGGAUUAGCACUUGGCUCAGUCAAGUUCAUCCACACUGACUGAAUCAGUC